AUCAAUAAGCGGAGGAAAAGAAACUAACAAGGAUUCCCUCAGUAACGGCGAGUGAACAGGGAACAAGCUCAAAGUUGGAAUCUAUCUGGCUUAGCCAGAUCGAAUUGUAAACUUUAGAGUCGUUGUCCAGACCAGCCGAGUAAAUAAGUUCCUUGGAAUAGGACAUCAUGGAGGGUGAGAAUCCCGUCUUUGGCUUGAGCAUUGGUCUUUUGUGAUGCGACUUCAACGAGUCAGGUUGUUUGGGAAUGCAGCCUUAAUUGGGUGGUAAAUCUCACCUAAAGCUAAAUAUUGGCGAGAGACCGAUAGCGAACAAGUACCGUGAGGGAAAGAUGAAAAGAACUUUGAAAAGAGAGUUAAACAGUAUGUGAAAUUGCUAAAAGGGAACCGUUUGAAGUCAGUCUGGCUGGUCUGCAAUCAGCUUCAACUUUGGUUGGAGUGCACUUGUAGGCCAUUUUGCCUGCCAACAACAGUUUGUUCUGCAGCAAAAAGGUGUUGAGAAUGUAGCUUUCUCUUUGGAGGAAGUGUUAUAGCUCUUCGCGAAAUACUGUGGUUCAGACUGAGGCUUGCAGUGAAUGCUAUUUUGGCUUUGGGGAUGGAUUGCUCAGUGCUUUGCUUGGUUAGUUUUCGGCCGUCAAACGUCGUGCUGGCUAAAUAAAGUCUGACUCGGUUCAUUCACUUUUAAUCACUUUGGUUGUUGGCUUAAUGACUU
This 709-nucleotide ribosomal RNA is filed under the name Apophysomyces variabilis. Its description in RNAcentral is "eukaryotic LSU rRNA". It matches the Rfam family "Eukaryotic large subunit ribosomal RNA", at positions 42 to 640 of the family's 3401-position model. The record is from RNAcentral. Lineage: Eukaryota; Fungi; Mucoromycota; Mucoromycetes; Mucorales; Mucoraceae.